This 271-nucleotide ribosomal RNA is filed under the name uncultured prokaryote. RNAcentral's name for it is "partial 16S ribosomal RNA". It matches the Rfam family "Bacterial small subunit ribosomal RNA", at positions 524 to 794 of the family's 1533-position model. The record is from RNAcentral.
UACGGAGGAUCCGAGCGUUAUCCGGAUUUAUUGGGUUUAAAGGGUGCGCAGGCGGGGGAUUAAGUCGGCGGUGAAAUUUUGCAGCUCAACUGUAAAAGUGCCUUCGAAACUGGUUUCCUUGAGUGUAGAUGAAGUAGGCGGAAUUUGUGGUGUAGCGGUGAAAUGCUUAGAUAUCACGAGGAACUCCGAUUGCGCAGGCAGCUUACUAAGCCAUAACUGACGCUCAGGCACGAAGGCGUGGGGAUCAAACAGGAUUAGAUACCCUGGUAGU